GAUGAGGAGAGGUCAGUGUAGGGGAUGAGGAGAGGUCAGUGUAGGGGAUGAGGAGAGGUCAGUGUAGGGGAUGAGGAGAGGUCAGUGUAGGGGAUGAGGAGAGGUCAGUGUAGGGGAUGAGGAGAGGUCAGUGUAGGGGAUGAGGAGAGGUCAGUGUAGGGGAUGAGGAGAGGUCAGUGUAGGGGAUGAGGAGAGGUCAGUGUAGGGGAUGAGGAGAGGUCAGUGUAGGGGAUGAGGAGAGGUCAGUGUAGGGGAUGAGGAGAGGUCAGUGUAGGGGAUGAGGAGAGGUCAGUGUAGGGGAUGAGGAGAGGUCUGUGUAGGGGAUGAGGAGAGGUCGGUGUAGGGGAUGAGGAGAGGUCAGUGUAGGGGAUGAGGAGAGGUCAGUGUAUGGGAUGAGGAGAGGUCAGUGUAAGGGAUGAGGAGAGGUCUGUGUAGGGGAUGAGGAGAGGUCAGUGUAAGGGAUGAGGAGAGGUCAGUGUAGGGGAUGAGGAGAGGUCAGUGUAAGGGAUGAGGAGAGAUCAGUGUAAGGGAUGAGGAGAGGUCAGUGUAAGGGAUGAGGAGAGGUCAGUGUAGGGGAUGAGGAGAGGUCAGUGUAGGGGAUGAGGAGAGGUCAGUGUAGGGGAUGAGGAGAGGUCAGUGUAGGGGAUGAGGAGAGGUCAGUGUAAGGGAUGAGGAGAGGUCAGUGUAAGGGAUGAGGAGAGGUCAGUGUAAGGGAUGAGGAGAGGUCAGUGUAGGGGAUGAGGAGAGGUCAGUGUAGGGGAUGAGGAGAGGUCAGUGUAAGGGAUGAGGAGAGGUCAGUGUAUGGGAUGAGGAGAGGUCAGUGUAGGGGAUGAGGAGAGGUCAGUGUAGGGGAUGAGGAGAGGUCUGUGUAGGGGAUGAGGAGAGGUCAGUGUAGGGGAUGAGGAGAGGUCAGUGUAGGGGAUGAGGUGAGGUCAGUGGAAGGGAUGAGGAGAGGUCAGUGUAGGAGAUGAGGAGAGGUCAGUGUAGGGGAUGAGGAGAGGUCAGUGUAGGGGAUGAGGAGAGGUCAGUGGAAGGGAUGAGGAGAGGUCAGUGUAUGGGAUGAGGAGAGGUCAGUGUAGGGGAUGGGGAGAGGUCAGUGUAGGGGAUGAGGAGAGGUCAGUGUAGGGGAUGAGGAGAGGUCAGUGUAGGGGAUGAGGAGAGGUCAGGGAACCAAUUGGAAAGCAGCUGGUUAAGUCUCUGUAAUGGCCGUCUGGCACGGGGAAGUGUGGCCAGUCAAACAGUCCCUGACUACAUCAUACUGACCUCUGACCUGAC
Molecule: long non-coding RNA, 1275 nt
Organism: Oncorhynchus keta (chum salmon)
Lineage: Eukaryota; Metazoa; Chordata; Actinopteri; Salmoniformes; Salmonidae
Exons: 8
Source: RefSeq, a predicted model, not a curated record